UUAAGUUCAGCGGGUAUUCCUACCUGAUCCGAGGUCAACCUUGAGAAGGGGGGUGUUUCACGGCAAGAACCCGCCGCACGUCCAAAGCGAGAUGUAUUACUACGCUCGGUGUGACAGCGAGCCCGCCACUGUUUUUAAGGGCCUGCGGCACCCGCAGAUGCCCCAACGCCAGGCCGGCUAGGGCCUGAGGGUUGAAAUGA
Molecule: unclassified non-coding RNA, 200 nt
Filed under: Sordariales sp.
Lineage: Eukaryota; Fungi; Ascomycota; Sordariomycetes; Sordariales
Description: partial internal transcribed spacer 2
Source: RNAcentral